UGACGACCUACAGUAAAAUGAGACAACUCGUCAUGGAUUUCAAUAUUUAUUGGUAUGAGGACGGCGACAUUUUCCUUGGAUUUGAUGAUCCUGGGUAACGUCCCGCAUGCCGCACACAUCAUCACCCGAUUGGGACCAGGAAUCGCCAGCGUUGGCUGGCUGUUCGACAUCGGACCAGUGAUCGCCAGUCAUUUCGUCGUCGGUGGUGGCAGGUAGUUCUCCGGAACCCAAGUCCUUCUACGACUUCCAGAAGGUUGCAACAGCCGGUCCAACGUGUCCGAAGGAUCAUCGUCGUCAUCAUUGCAUCAGUGUACAACUCGGUUUCAUAAACUAAGCACUCAAGACAUCGAAGACAUGAGGAACACGAGCGGACUCUGGAUGGAGAAGAAAGAGCGAGUUGGAAAAGACGGGAAACGUCUUCUUUCGCCAGACAUCGUGUUCGGUCAAUCCGAGUAAAAAAAUAAAAAGAAAUGGUGACAUGCCACCUUUGUCCUCCGGCCGAUCGGCAGCACUACACAACAGCGCUGGGACUUCAAGUUCAUCUGGCUAACGUUCAUAACCUUGCAACACCCUGUAUCCCAUUUUGUGAGACACUCUGUACGCUCCGCAACUAUACCAACCGCUAUGAGCUUCAUCUACAUGACAGAGACGACGACGGGCAGGAUGUCAGCACAUUCUUUCAUGAAAACGGACGCUACCUUGCCGGUGUACUUCGACAUUUCGGAUUUCCGUUACGCUUUUAUGUUUUGCUGAAGGCGGAACUCGGUCGACAUACGCCUGAGGAUGAGAUCAUAUUUGUCACUCAAUUUAUUCCUUCGAGUGUGCAUACGCUGUGGUCGGAACGAGACGUAGAACGUGCUGUCAUUGAAGUAGGCACUGAAGUCACCAACAAUUUAGAAAAGCUUGAAAUGCAAGGGUCGGGAUUUUUCUUAUUUCGAAUUCACGCCUGCAUUCUUCAUGUCGGUCGUCUCGCACCACAGCUCAUUGGUUGUACCGACUUUGAAUUGCCAAACGAAUUGAAAAAAAAAG
Ornithodoros turicata is the source of this 1029-nucleotide long non-coding RNA. RefSeq lists it as uncharacterized. The transcript is spliced from 4 exons. Lineage: Eukaryota; Metazoa; Arthropoda; Arachnida; Ixodida; Argasidae. The record is from RefSeq and is a predicted model, not a curated record.